This is an RNA transcript of Drosophila subpulchrella, 2313 nucleotides long. RefSeq lists it as uncharacterized. NCBI's taxonomy places the organism in Eukaryota, Metazoa, Arthropoda, Insecta, Diptera, Drosophilidae. The transcript has 5 exons. The record is from RefSeq and is a predicted model, not a curated record.
AACAAAACUACAAAUAAUGACGGAAAAAUGGAUUACAUUUGGUGGCUAUCGGUGACCUAGCCAAUCGCUCCCACCCAACCAUGGAUGCCCUCGAGGUGCUGCAGGGCACAACCCAUUCUCAGUCGGCAGGAGCCCCCUCCUCGCGACUACGGCGGUUCCAUCUCCCCCACUGGGAAAGUUUACUCACACAUUGUGGGGAUUACAAAGGUUUAAUAAAUAUCCUUUUAAGACCGAAACCUGGCCGCCGUCUUCAAUAUUUACGCGGUCAAAGCAGAGGACUGGUUUUGCUGGAAAAGGGUAGAGGCGCCGCGGAAACUAUGCUCUACCAGUCAUGUAUUGGUAGAGCUCGCAUGGAAACGCGGCCCUCAAAGGAACAUACGCGAUGCGUAUGUGUAUGGUCACCUAAUCCUGAGGAGCUCCAAGGGAAAAGAAGGGACAGGCCAAGAGGCAAACAACGAGGACAAACAAGGCUCUCGGGUCUAACUCCGGAUAAAUUCACAAAACAGGGAAGUAAAUUUCAAUAUAUAUAAUCAAGGUACACGUGUAUUUAAUUUUUCUAAAUUUCAGCCACUAUUGGGCCGGGCCUGGAGGCAAUGAUAGCCCGGGCGGAAGACUUCUCGCCGGAGGCCAGCAGCGAUACGGAUUCCCCGGGAAAUGCUUGAUGUCGUCGGAGUCGACUGUGAAAGGCUUUUCUGGCUGGUCGUUAGUACGGGUCAAACGGACACCGGUUGCUGGGCAGCCAAGUCGGGCUGGUAGGUAUGGCGAAGUCGCGCAGAUGUCAGUAGAACUCCAAAUAAAUAUUCCGGGGGCCUUUGUAUUGGGACCUCGGCUGCCUUUAUAAACGAAUUUAAAAGAAUCAAGCGUUGCCACUGGCAAAUUAAAAGAAUCAAGCGUUGCCAGACCGAAAAAAUGCUGUCUCAUCUUAAUGGGAAAGGGGUCAAAGAGAAAGAAGAUGUUGGUGUUACCAGCUCAGGAAAAUCAUGACUCAUGUUCAUGAAGAGGAAGAACACUUGGCGCCUUGAUUCAAAAAUAUUGCAUUUUUUGAGUUGAAGCUAAAGCUUAGCUUAGGAAAACCGAUAUAAAGACAACAUCGUUUCAGAGCCACUAUUCCGGAGAAAAGUGCGCGAUAGCCCCACAAGUCCAUGGCCUCUGCACAGCCUUUAUAUCGGCACCUUCAUUUUGCUCAUCCACUCGUGGGCGGGCUGGAAUACCUCCAACGAAGGUCCCAACACAAGGAUGCAGUGCGCGGAUGCACUACUCGAGAGCUAGACUUGGGUCCUCGGGCUGCAAAAGCAAGUCCUCAUGCGUAUAAUGCGUAUAAUGAUAAAAAUGAUAACUAUUAACUCACCCUUCGCGCUCCAUAAGCGGGGACAAGAACUUCAGAUACAAGUUGUCUCCGGAUUCCAGCAGAUCUUCGCAACAGCGGCGGAAGGCAGUGGAUCCCAGAGGAUCAUUUCCGCAGACUUGUGUAGUGACAGUUGUACAGCUCCCCAAAGCUCGUUUGUGAUUCUGGUCUGCAUCUAAGCGGCUCUCGUGGCCAUCAAUGGCUGGUGAGCCAGAUUGUGCAGCUGGGCCAGGGAACCCGAUCCCGGAAGGUGACGAGCAUCUAACGGAUGGGCAGCAAAAGCAAGGACUUUUCUGACACCCCAAUUUACCGAUGAUACAUAUUAAGGUUAGAGGAGGCUUUACAUGGUCAUCUGGUGCUAUCUGAAGGCAUAUUUAUUUUCAAAUUGUUUAUUAGAGUAAAGGAUAGUCUAGGCACUUGACUAUAGUUCUAUAGUUUCUUCUUACUUAUCUCAAAAAUACUUAUUUCAUUACAUUUGUGCCUCAAUAGAAGGUGUUUUUAAAUUAAAAAUGUUACUGGCUUGGGUCUUUUUAUUUCUAUGCUGAUGUGUCAUACAUCUUUCCGUUCUGAUUACAAAUAAAGUGUUAUUACUCUGAUUUUUCCAUUUUAAAACGUUGACAAACAACUGAUAAAGCAGAAAGAAAUACUGAUUCAUCGCUCGAAACAAAAGAGAUUCAUCCAGUUAAAGAGUGGCGAGGUUCCUUGUUCACAGCCUCAAAUUGAUCUAAGCUCCGCUUUUAUCCUCACUUCCGCAAGUCGUACUUCGACAUUCAUUCGAUCUCGUAUUGUGGGCUUUGAUCGUGUUGUUUGGAUAAAUUCUAGAAAGAAAUAUGUAUAAUAAGUACAACAUGAAAAUAAGGACUUUUUAAAAUGUAAACUAAACUUAUAGCUUAGUAAGGACUGAGACAAACACGAUGAAUCAUUGAACGGUGUUUUAGUAGUAGUAAAAUGAGGGUCUCCAACACCAA